CCUACGGGAGGCUGCAGUGGGGAAGAGUGCACAAUGGGGGAAACCCUGAUGCAGCGACGCCGCGUGAGCGAUGAAGUAUUGCGGUAUGUAAAGCUCGAGCAGCAGGGAAGAAAAUGACGGUACCUGACGAAGAAGCCCCGGCUAACUACGUGCCAGCAGCCGCGGUAAUACGGAGGGGGCAAGCGUUAGCCGGAUUUACUGGGUGGACAGGGCGCGGAGCCGGGCCGGCAAGCCAGAUGUGAAAGCCCGGGGCUCAACCCCGGGACUGCAUUUGGAACGGUAAGGCUCGCGUGUCGGAGAGGCAGGCGUAAUUCCUCGUGUAUCUGUGACCUGCGUAGAUCUUAGGAGGUCCACCAGUGGCGACGGCGGCCUGCUGGACGAUGACUGACGUUGAGGCUC
RNAcentral lists this ribosomal RNA (399 nucleotides) under uncultured bacterium. RNAcentral's name for it is "partial 16S ribosomal RNA". It matches the Rfam family "Bacterial small subunit ribosomal RNA", at positions 338 to 754 of the family's 1533-position model. The record is from RNAcentral.